GAAGUUUCGAAAUAAGGUCUCACCUGCAGACUUGUGAAGCCAGCAGAAAUGCACUGCAGGAAGGAUUCCAGUUUUAGAGUGCCUGAACCACCAGUGGAUGUUCCAGAGAAGCUCUUUGUCCUGAGUGCAGCAGUGAGCAGAGAGGGACUGAGUCAUGUGGACCAUGGGCAGGCUCCUGGGACCUGCUUGAAUCCUGAGCAUGGCAACCCUUUGAAACAAGUCCUUCAAAGAUCCUUCCUGCUCACAAUUCACCAGUGGAAAAAUGUUCUAAACCAGCUCUGGAUCAUUUGGUCAUCCCACAUAUAUGGUGGCUAAGGCUCCAGCUCCAAAUUCCUCAUCUCUCAAGGAUAAAAGUGUGAGAGCCAAAAGAAAGAUGAUCAUCAG
RNAcentral lists this long non-coding RNA (384 nucleotides) under Parus major (Great Tit). RNAcentral describes it as "lncRNA (ENSPMJG00000011769.1)". The record is from RNAcentral. Lineage: Eukaryota; Metazoa; Chordata; Aves; Passeriformes; Paridae.